This 253-nucleotide ribosomal RNA is filed under the name uncultured bacterium. RNAcentral's name for it is "partial 16S ribosomal RNA". It matches the Rfam family "Bacterial small subunit ribosomal RNA", at positions 524 to 776 of the family's 1533-position model. The record is from RNAcentral.
GACGAACCGUACGAACGUUAUUCGGAAUUACUGGGCUUAAAGGGUGCGUAGGCUGCGCGGUAAGUUGGGUGUGAAAGCCCUCAGCUCAACUGAGGAAUUGCACUCAAAACUACCGUGCUCGAGGGAGACAGAGGUAAGCGGAACUCAAGGUGGAGCGGUGAAAUGCGUUGAUAUCUUGAGGAACACCGGUGGCGAAGGCGGCUUACUGGGUCUUUUCUGACGCUGAGGCACGAAAGCCAAGGUAGCAAACGGG